AGGACGAACGCUGGCGGCGCGCUUAACACAUGCAAGUCGAGCGAGGCCCUUCCUUCGGGAAGGUGUCCUAGCGGCGAACGGGUGAGUAACACGUGGGCAACCUGCCCAUAGCUCUGGGAUAAGCGCUGGAAACGGCGUCUAAUACCGGAUAUGACACGGGACGGCAUCAUCUCCGUGUGGAAAGAAUUUCGGCUAUGGAUGGGGCCCGCGGCCUAUCAGCUUGUUGGUGAGGUAAUGGCUCACCAAGGCUACGACGGGUAACCGGCCUGAGAGGGCGACCGGUCACACUGGGACUGAGACACGGCCCAGACUCCUACGGGAGGCAGCAGUGGGGAAUAUUGCACAAUGGGCGAAAGCCUGAUGCAGCGACGCCGCGUGAGGGAUGAAUGCCUUCGGGUUGUAAACCUCUUUCAGUAGGGACGAAGCGAAAGUGACGGUACCUGCAGAAGAGCGCCGGCCAACUCGUGCCAGCAGCGCGGU
This 480-nucleotide ribosomal RNA is filed under the name uncultured bacterium. RNAcentral's name for it is "SSU rRNA". It matches the Rfam family "Bacterial small subunit ribosomal RNA", at positions 26 to 521 of the family's 1533-position model. The record is from RNAcentral.